CCAGCAGAUUUCUUUGGCAUUCUGUCCACCUCCAUAUUCAUUGAUCUAUGUAUCUCACUGUUGUGUAAAUGUGUAAUUAGGGUUUAUUGGUUUGAUAAGAAAAGAGAAAUAAUCUAGUGCAAGAUUUUGUUUUCUUUUUCUUGUGUGUGUAAUCUGUGUUUAGUUAAGAGUGUGGAGGUGGGCAUACUGUCAAUGGAGCUCUGUUGG
RNAcentral lists this microRNA precursor (207 nucleotides) under Helianthus annuus (common sunflower). Its description in RNAcentral is "sRNA HanXRQr2_Chr08g0326411". It matches the Rfam family "MIR394 microRNA precursor family". The record is from Rfam by way of RNAcentral. Lineage: Eukaryota; Viridiplantae; Streptophyta; Magnoliopsida; Asterales; Asteraceae.